This 285-nucleotide ribosomal RNA is filed under the name Rhipicephalus sanguineus (brown dog tick). Its description in RNAcentral is "partial small subunit ribosomal RNA". The record is from RNAcentral. Lineage: Eukaryota; Metazoa; Arthropoda; Arachnida; Ixodida; Ixodidae.
AAUAAUAAUUAUGAAAGCAAAAAAUUAUGGCGGUAUUUUAAGCUUUUCAGAGGAAUUUGCUCUUUAAUGGAUAAAACACCAAAAUCUUACUUAAAUUUGUGAUUUCAAUUUGUAUACCACUAUUAAAACAAUUUAUAACUUUAAUUGUUUAAAUUUACAAAACUAAAAUAUAUUAAGUCAAGGUGCAGUAAAAAUUUAAGAAUGAAGUGAAUUACAUUACUUUUUAGUGAUAUAAAUUUAUAACAAUAUUUAGGAUUUGAAAGUAAAAUUAAAAUAGGAUGUUAA